Molecule: non-coding RNA, 2254 nt
Organism: Prunus avium (sweet cherry)
Lineage: Eukaryota; Viridiplantae; Streptophyta; Magnoliopsida; Rosales; Rosaceae
Source: RefSeq, a predicted model, not a curated record
UGCGCAGCCUCUCUCUCUCCCCUCUGUUCAGCCAGCUGCGACGGCAGCAGCUUCCGGCAACAAUUCCGGCUAUAUCCGGCCGUCUCCUGCCACGAAAUUUGUCCCAUUCUCUUCGUUUUUCACCCCUCUACACAUCUAUACCAUUUUCCAGCCCCAAAUCUAAGAAAAAUUAAGCCAAAAUUCAAGCCAAACUCAGCCCAAAAUCGGGCAGCUUCAAACAGUGGCUGUUCGUGGUCUUUUCGGGCCAAUUCCGGCGUCCACAGCUCAGGUUUUCAAGAGACAGAAAGCUUCGUUCGAGGGCUUUAAAGGUGGAAUUGAUCGUCGAGCCAAGAAUCAUGGGCCCAAAGCGUGGUGGUACUCAUAUAGGGACUCAUUAGUCGUCCCGACUUCAGGGACAUGAUCUCCCUCCUGAGCCGGAGAACUAUCCGAUUCCGGGUCCGGCACUGGAACAGGUUGAACAGUCUUUCGUAGGAGGUCAGAUAGGGGCAGCACCGGUGAUGGCUACUCCACCAAUUGAUCCCAACUUUCAGCAUACACUCGAGUUGUUAACUCAGCCGCUGUCUCGAACUGAACAUACCAGAGAUGCGUCCUUGACAUAUGCGGACCAGGCUAGAAGGAUAGGGGCCGUGGAAUUUAAUGGUGAUGGUGAUCCCGCCAUGGCUGAAGAAUGGAUAGAAAAGAUGGAAAGAAUUAUGGAUGUAAUGGACAUUCCACAGGAGCGCAGAGUAGUGUUGGCUACCUUCUUCCUUUCUAGAAAUGCAAGUUAUUGGUGGGAAUCAGUGAGAAGACAGUACCAUGACCCAUCAACCAUCACAUGGCAAGUUUUUCGUACAACAUUUGAUGAGCAGUUCUAUCCUUUGGCUUAUCAAAAUAUGAAGAUGGAGGAGUUUCUUCAGCUUGAACAGGGCAGUAUGACGGUGCUAGAGUAUGAAAAGAAAUUUAAUGAACUAUCCAAGUAUUGCACACCAUUGGUAGCAGACGAGAGGAAGGAAUGUCAGUUGUUUACUAGGGGUUUAAAGGCAUCCAUCCGUGACAUCGUGGUGGGACAGUGUCUAGUAAACUUUGGUGAUUUGGUUACAUCUGCUUCAUUGAUUGAGAGCAAUCAGAUGAUGGUGCGGGGACGAGGUGAUUCCCGCCGGCGUCAGUACGAUAAGGGUGGUCCUAGUCAGGGGUCAUCCAAAAGGGGUAGUUUCAAUUCUGGAUCGUCUAGUGGCCGUAGUUAUGGAGGUUUUCGAGCUGGAGUCAAUUCCAGUGGUGGAUCUAAUAAGAGUGGUAGUUCUGGACCCCGUUCCAGAGAUGAUAGAGCUAGAAGCUCAGGGACACAAUUGCAAACGGUUUAUAGUGGAAGGAAUCGCCCCCGGUGUGCCUUGUGCAACAGAUUUCAUACUGGGCCUUGUCAACUAGGUGCCUCUGGGUGCUAUCAUUGUGGACAGACAGGGCAUUUUCGGCGGGAGUGCCCGAUGCUACUGCAAGGUAGAGAAAUCAUUGCUGGGCCAACCCAGGGGAGUGGAGUACAGAGUCGAGUGCCAGGUACAUCUCAGUUUGGGGGAGCCUCAUCUAGCAGUGGGGCCCAGACUAGCUCGACUAGCAGAGGGGACGCGGUGGAUGUUCCAGAGUGACUGGCAGGGUGUACAAUAUGACUCAGUAGGAGGCACAUGCAUCACCAGACGUCAACUUAUAGGUAUGUUACCGGUUUUUAGAAUUUCUGCACGUAUUUUGAUCUUCCCUGGGGCCACACAUUCUUUUAUUGCACAUAGUUUUGCUCAUAAUGUGAAUGUGAGACUCACAGCCCUACGUGAGGAGCUUGCUAUUUCUGUACCCACGGGGGAUGUUUUUAUGGUUGGUACGGUGUAUAGGAAUAGUUCAGUUUUGGUAGGCGAUGUGUUCUUGGAGGCGGACUUAAUCCCUUUGGAUAUUAUGGAUUUGGACGUCAUUCUGGGCAGUAGUCGCGUACUCGAGCACCACCACAAAGCAGUCGUCGCUCUACAUUCCUCCUUUUUCUUUAUGCAGGAUAUUCUGCCGUGACCUUGUUAUUUCAUUAUAAAUUAAUGAAUUAGGUUGCUUUGAAAUUGCCCUAGGAUUUCUGUAAGGCCCGAGUCCAUAAAGUUUUGAUGUUUGGUUGCAUGAAUCCUAUUAUUGUGCAUGCUGAACGGUUGGGUUAUAAAUUGUUUUUCGUGCAUGUGUAAAUUUUUGGGAAACGAGUAUUUACAGGGGAGACUGCCGAAUUUUCAACAUAAGUCAAACCCUAAAGAAA